AGACAUGCCAGCAACUUCACGGCUACUUCUCCGUUUAGCCAGACAGAGAAUAAAGGGUCCCUGUAUUCAUGCCUUCCUGGAAAUCUCAGUGCAAGGCCCUAUCAGGAGGUUUCCUGGAGCAGCUAAGGGAACAGCUAGACCACCCAGGAAGAAAUGACAGAAGCCUACCUGACUUCCAAUCUGCUUGCUUGAUGGUGUAAUGGGGGCCUAGACAGAAGCACCCCAAGUAGACUUACAACAACUGUUCUGCCAGCUCUAGUCCAUUGGAGAAGAUGUGCCAACAUACCUUCUCACCAUCCCUAGAGCCCAACCUUGCUAUGGAAAGGUCAAACCCUUACCAUUGGCCCUGCCAAGGAUCCCCAGACAGAGAAGCACAAUGGAGGCCAUAAAUUAUGGCUUCUUAUCAUGGCCUCCACAUAACUUAAACUCUGGAUGGUGAAUGAAAUCCGGGGCCAAGUCUUAAAGGGUCAGGGUAGCCAAUGAGCAUAACUCAAUAUUUGUGUUUCUAAGAGAAAACCACAGAACCUCCAUAUCCAUGGCAAACUGGCCAGCCACAGGCUGGAUCCAGUGUGCAGUAGUGUUUUGUGUACACCAUUCACUAUUUGUCUACUUGGGUUAAAAAUGUUUUAUAUUAGUUAGCAAUGUUUAAACAUUGGGAGAAUUAAAGGGAAAUGAAAACGUACUUCCCACAAAUACUUGCACAUAAAUAUUCACAGCAGCAUUGUUUAUAAUUGCCCAAAACUAGGAACAACCCAAACAUCCAUCAACUGAUGAAUGAUAAACAAGUUGUGCUAUAUUCAUCCAAUAAAACAAUAUUCAGCAAUAAAAAUAAACAAAUCAGGCACUUAAUAUAAUUGAAUAUCAAGGUCAUUAUGUUGAGUGAAAGAGGCCAGAAAAUAAAAGUAUACACUGUUUGAUUCCAUUUAUAUAAUAUUCUAGAAAAUGAAAACCAGUCUAUACUUACAGAAAACAAGGUGGUAGCUUAUAGAGAUGGGGUAGAGGGAGGGAGAGAUGACAGAGAGGCAUAAAAAAACUUUCCAGACAAUGAAAAUGUUCUGUAUUUUAAUUGUGGUGAUGGUUUCAUGGAUGUACAUGUUCAUCAAAUCUCAUCAAGUUAAAUAUACGCAUUUAUUUUAUAUCAAGUGUACCUCAAUAAAGCAG
This 1161-nucleotide long non-coding RNA is filed under the name Pan troglodytes (chimpanzee). RNAcentral's name for it is "long non-coding RNA NONPTRT013698". Lineage: Eukaryota; Metazoa; Chordata; Mammalia; Primates; Hominidae. The record is from RNAcentral.